GGCACCGCCCUCUGCUGUGUCUCCUCUGCUAACAUCCUCCCGGCUAAAUUGUGGCACGUGGGAUGCUGCCUCAGCGCGGUUUGAUGAGCAGUGCCAUGUCCACGCCCAGGAUUCGAACCAACGAAACACUGGGCCGCCUGCAGCAGAGUGUGCGACUUAACCACUCCGCCAUGGGGCCAGCCCCAUGGGAGCUUACACUUUUGAGGCAAUGACACCCAAUAAACAGAGAAACAAAGGGCCGUGAAGGGCACUGGGAAGUCCGGAAAGUGCCACGAAGAAACGGGAAGCAGCUGCCCGAAUGGACUAAGACAGGCGGAGUUCUGGCCAAUGGAGGGCUGCUGGCUGGAUGCAGAUGCCCCAGGCCAUUGUGGAAGCCAGUUACAGAUGGCAGGGGCUCAUCCCUUGAGGACUUUGUGGAACACCAGUUGGAUUUUAUAUGAAGAAAGACACUAUUACAUUAAGCCACUGAAACCUUGGGUUUGCAUAUCAGAGCAGCUGGUGUCACCUUCACUAAAGUGGAAUAGAAGCUGUGGGAGCAGAGGGACCAGAGCUGGGAGAGGGGUGGCGUGAGGCGGAAAGAGACCCAGGUGGGACCCGGGGAACACCAAC
This 609-nucleotide long non-coding RNA is filed under the name Equus caballus (horse). RNAcentral describes it as "lncRNA (ENSECAG00000055971.1)". The record is from RNAcentral. Lineage: Eukaryota; Metazoa; Chordata; Mammalia; Perissodactyla; Equidae.